This 5981-nucleotide long non-coding RNA is filed under the name Eucalyptus grandis. RNAcentral describes it as "long non-coding RNA (EGRA_LNC004869)". Lineage: Eukaryota; Viridiplantae; Streptophyta; Magnoliopsida; Myrtales; Myrtaceae. The record is from RNAcentral.
UUUUUUGGUCAGAAAAGAUAAUAGAUAGAAAAUAAACAACCAUUACACUUUAGCGUUUAACGAAAGAGAAACUAGGGCAUCCGCCGCGAGCAAAGCUUGCAAAACAGGGGGAGGAAAAAGAGUCCAAUUUGGGGACAGAUCCGAUCGGCCAUGAGCUUUGGCCGCCCAGUCUGCGACGAAAUUGGCUCUCCUGUCACAGUGCUGCAGACGGAGAUUCAAGAAAAGGGGCAAGAUUGACUGGAUUUCGUCAAAGAGCGGGCGAUCCUCCCAUGGUGGCGGCCGUCGGUCGUGAAGGAUUUCAACCAAUUGCAAACAGUCCGAUUCGAGAACGAUUGAUGCGGUGAGAAGUCCCUGUUGUUUGAGUCGAUGUAGAGUUAGUGUUAGCGCCUGUGUUUCCGCUUGGAAAGCCGAAUUUGCUGGGAAUCUGGCCGCGUAGGCAUCAGUGAGUAAACAUCUGUGAUCUCGGCUAAUACAGGCCAUGGUGCCGUAUCUAUUCCCAGGGGAGAAGGAGCCGUCAAUAUUGCAUUUGAUGAAGCCCGGUUCUGGCGAUCGCCACCAGUAGUCUUUGGAAGCAAGAGGGGCAUAUGUACGCAGACCAACUCCUUGGGAAGCUGUUUGGGCAGAGAGGGUGACAAUCCGAUGCUGAGCUGAGGCAUCAAUAACAGCCAGAUUGGGGUCAGGAAGUAAGCCACGGAAAACACUGUUGUUGCGCAGCCGCCACAUCUGCCAUAAAACAUGGGUUAUCAUGGGUAGUCGAGGUAAGAGUUUCUGAUCUUUAAUUGAUUCUGCAAGCCAUUGAUCCAUGCGAGUGAUCAUAGUUGGGUGGAAGGGGAACUGCUGUUGAAAAUGUGACCAUACUCCCGCCGUCCACGGACAAUGGAAAAAAAUAUGUUCAACUGUUUCAGGCACAUUCUGAUUGCAUAUAGUGCACAUAGGGCUUGAGAUGAUAUGUCUGGUAUAUAAAUUGGACUUAGUAGCUAGGGCGUUGUGACAUGCCGACCAUAGAAAUAUGCGAAGUUUCGGUGUACUGUGCAUUUUCCAUAUGUAACGCCAUAGCUCAGGAGGUGGGUGGUAGGAAGUAGAUGCCAUAUUACCUUGCGAUAAAUUUGCUGGUGCUGUCAAGAUUCUGUAGUUACUCUUUACUGUAUACUGCCCUGUGGUUGUUGCUGUCCAAAUAAUCUGAUCAGUUGAGUGGAGAGGUCUUAAUGGAAUGUUGAGGAUUUCGUCGGCAAUAGAGUCAUCGAACAUCUGUGUAAUAAGGUGGGUCUUCCAAGUCUGGUGGAGAGGAUCAAUAAGAUCCGCCACCAACCGGGGCUCAUCUCUAUUGGCAGGUCCGCCAAGCUUACCUCUCGGUAACCAGCAGUGUUCCCUAAUGUUAAUUGAUUUUCCGUCCCCAACAGACCAUCUUGCAUUCGGUAAUAUGGCAUUCCGCCCAACUAGAAUACUUCGCCAGCCCCAGGAAGGGCGAGAACCAGGCUCUGCGAAUUCGAAAUCCUUUGAGGGAAAAUAUAAUCCUUUAAGGAUUCGGCCCCAAAGCGAUUGAGGUUGCUGUAGUAACCUCCAGGCCUGCUUGCCAAGCAUGGCAUUGUUAAAAACUACCAAAUCCCGAAAGCCUAACCCACCAGAAUUUUUGCCUGUCGUUAGCAAGUCCCAUUUCUUCCAAUGCACACCAUUCCUGUUCUUGUCAUUCCGCCACCAAAAAUUGGCAAUCCUCCGCUCAAUUGUUCGACAUAGAGACAGGGGAAGCUUAAAGAUUGACAUGGCGUAUUGCGGCAUAGCUUGGAUGAUAGACUUGAGAAGGAUUUCCUUUCCGCCUUUUGAUAGCAACAUUUCUUUCCAACCCUCCAACUUUGCAUGUACUCUUCCUAAUAGCCAGCCAAAUAAUUCUUUUUUGGAACGACCCCAUUCUGAUGGAACUCCUAGGUACUUGCCAUAACCACUCAACACCGGUACACGCAAUUCAGCAGCCAAGUUAGUUUGAAGACUAGGUGGACAGCCUUUGCUAAAGUAGAGGCCAGACUUAUUGCGGUUUAUGACUUGUCCAGAGGCGUGACAAUAUUGGUUUAAGAUAUUGGCCAUAUUCUGACAUUCAAGGAUAGUACCAUUGAGGAAGAAAACAGAAUCAUCAGCAAAGAAUAAAUGUGAGAGUGUGGGGCAUGACCUGGUAAGUGUAAUUCCGCGAAGAUGUCCCAUCGUAAGAGCGUUCUGAAUGAGGGUGGAUAGAACAUUGGCCAUUAAAAUAAAGAGAUAUGGAGAAAGAGGGUCUCCUUGUCUGAGUCCUUUUGAUGGCUUGAAAUAUGGUAGAGAUUCCCCAUUAAAUUUAACACUCAUUGUCGUCGUGGUAAUACAGUACAUCACCAUCUGAACCCACCAAGGAUGAAAUCCCAGUUUAAGAAGGUAGGCUUGAAGGAAAUCCCAUUCAACUUUGUCGUAAGCCUUCUGCAUAUCAGUCUUAAGAAUAGCUUGGAAGUGUCUUUUCCGAUGCCUCAUUUUGAAAUGAUGGAGGACCUCGUGUACAACAAAGACAUUAUCUUGUAUUUGACGGCCAGAUACAAAAGCAGCUUGCUCAGGUGAUACCAGCUGUUCUAACAUAGGUUUGAGUCGGUUGGCCAUGACUUUAGAUAUAACCUUAUAUGCAACGUUACACAAACUUAUCGGUCUAAACUGGUCAAGACUUUCAGGAUGGUGUACUUUGGGAAUCAAAACAAUAAGAGUCUUAUUGAGGUCUGGAGGGAACUUACCAUAGUGAAAAAAGUCGUUGACCAGACAGAAUAAAUCAUGAUGGAUGGUAGGCCAAUGGGUUUGGUAGAACAGACCAUUAAAACCGUCGGGGCCCGGAGCUUUUGUAGCACCCAGUUGGAAAGUAGCUUGUCGUACCUCUUCAAUCGUCACUUGGGCCAAUAAUUGUGCAUUCAUUGUGUCCGUUACAAGUGAUGAACAUUGAUCUAGGACGGGGCAAAAGUCGCGGUGGCCUGCUGAUGUAUAAAGCUGAGUAAAAUAAGCAGAAGUCAGCUCUUUUAAAUCUACUAUAUCCCUCACCCAUUCAUUGUCAGCCUUCCGAAGCAUUCCAAUCCGGUUUUUCUGCCUACGUUGAAUUGUAGUGGCGUGAAAGAACUUACUAUUUUUGUCACCCCAACGCAACCAAUUUAUUCUGGACCUCAUAGCCCAAAAUUGCUCUUCUUGCUUCCAAAUUGUCCUCAACUCAUCUUGGAUAUGAGAUACCUCAUCGUUGUCACUGUUAGAACAAUAAGGAUGAUUAAUUAGGGACUGGAGGCGUUGUUGUAAUGAUGUAAUCCGCGAGUGUCCAUUACCAAACUUGGAACGACUCCAAUGGCUUAAGGCUAUCCUUACUUUAGAUAGUUUGUGCAGGAGAUCAGAGCUUCUGGACUGAUUAGAAGGCCAAGUUUGGGAUACAAGGCAGUAAACUUCAGGAUCAUCGUUCCAAAAAGCUUCGUAAGCAAAGGUGCGUUGACGAUUUUUAUUAACCUGCACCGUAGAGAGAAGUAACGGGCUGUGAUCAGAGCCUAUUGGUGGUAAGGCAUACACUUCCGCAGCAGGAUAAAUGAGACGCCAAUCCAUAGAGCAGAGGACUCUGUCCAAUCGUUCCUUAACGAGGUUAUUUCCUUCACGACCAUUUGACCAAGUGUACAUGCAACCCUUACUCUCGACCUCCAUAAGAGCACAGUCGUCGACUACAUCCCGAAAAGAGGAAAGACGAGAACGAAUAGGGGAUCGACUGCCCACCUUCUCCCAAGGAUGAAGAAUUUCAUUAAAGUCCCCUACACAAAUUCAGGGUAGAGUAUUGAAAGCACUAAUUCUUCGAAGGGUCUCCCAAAACAGUUGACGAUUGUGAUAGGAGGGAGGGGCAUGUAGGCAAGUAAUCCUCAUAAGGCGAUCAUCACUUGAAUCCCUACAGACCAUAUCAAAAAAAUCUUCCGAAAAGCUUUCAAUUUCUAGAGACAAAGUAUCAUUCCAAAAAACUGCUAAACCACCAGCUAAACCAACAGGAUUCUGAACAAAAGAACCUUUAUAACGAAGCUUAUGCUGCAAUCUGUUGAGAACCAGCUCCCGGUUCUUAGUUUCCAUCAAAAACAAAAGAUCGGGCUUUUCUUUGGCUGACAUAGCCGUAAGGGCUUGGACUGUCAAGGGAUUGCCCAACCCCUGACAGUUCCAACAUAAAAGCUUCAUUUGUAACUUGGUGGCUGUUGAGGGCCAGCCACCAAAGCCCGAUGGAGUGCUUCAUCUGCUGCCAUUACCGGUGUUUCCUGGAGACGUGUCUCAUCUAGCUGAUCAAAUACAACACUGCCCUUAUCAUAGGGAGCGUAGCGUUUUUGUUUCUUUGCAUGUCCUGCUCUUGUAGUAGUACUGGUUUUUUUUGCUCUUCGAGAUUGCUGAAUAUCCGUUGGAAAGUCGCUAAGACUCUGUUCUAUGUCUAUUGUAGGAAUAUGACAGGAGGGGAUAGUGCUGACCUGCUGCUGCACGUUCAAUAGAUGAGGUUUAAACAGCCGGAUUGCUUCAGAAGAAUUAAUGUUAUCGUCAGAUUUGCCUUUUGCUUUGACAUGUGCAGGAAUCAAAGCCGUGGUGGUGGGCUGCUGCUGAUGAGUAACAGCGUUAGAAUGGCUGGGGAGAUGCUCUGUCACUGCAGGGGUUUGUCUUGGAAGAGCUGCACCGGUAAGUUCUUUGUCAUUAGCUACCGGUGGGGGUAAUAGGGGCGGAUGUUGUAGUAAACCUGGAGGAGUCUCGGGUAUGAUUUCCUGAGUUUGAUCCAUUUCUGGAGGGGUGUAGAAAGCGGUCCAAUAAGGACUAGAUUGAUGAACCUCUGCUUUCAACCACGGGCCAAAAGCCAAUUUAUCUUUGCCGUCCUCCUUGGCCAAAUCAAAAGGAAUGUCUAUACAAUUAGUUGCAGAGUGGCCAAGUCUGCCGCACAAGUAGCAAAAGUGGGGAAGUCGUUCGUAUCUGAAAUCCAACCAUAACAGUUUCCCAGCUAAGCGAAUCAGUUUGCCAGUUUUCAGAGGUGUACCUAGAUUGAGUACCACCCUGACUCGCCCUAUUUUAACUGUGGAACCCUCCUUGCUAUCCACUCUUACCUCCAGAAUAUCCCCGAGCUGAUUAGCCGCCUUCCUCAGAAGCUGGUCCGUCAUCCACUCUAAAGGCAAGCCGAGAAUUUGGACCCAGAAAGCACACCGAGUAAAAUCAUAGCAAUGGAGCGGAGUAUUAGGAAUCCAAGGCUUGAAAUUGACUAAGUGGCUAGAAAAAAGCCAAGGACCACCCUGUGAAAUGCGUUGGAAAUCCUUGUCCUGUUGGAACUUUGCUAAAUAUAAGCCACCUUCAUGUUGAGAGAAUUCGACCAAAGUAACUCGCCAUACUCGUUUCAUUACUUCUUGGAAUGCCUGGAAAUUAACAUUAGAUGUAGUAAUAACCUUCCCUAAAAGGGUUAGUUUGCAUUCCGCAAUUUUUUCUAUCGCAGGUUCAUCCUCCCAUGUCUCAACCUCCUGAUCAGAACAGAGGCGUCCCAAGCGUUGACACAGAGCAUUCAAACGAACUGAUUCAUCAGGAUCGUCCGAAGCCAUGACGAAACCAAGUUGAAUUGAACAGAAGGCAGUAGCAUGUAAUGCAAGUACCAAGUCACGAACAGCAACCCCAGUUACGAAGAGCCACAAUUGCCAGGGAAAUGAAGUAAUAGUAUAGAUUCAGCAAGAUAAGGCAUCGUUGGAAGUAAUUCAACUCUAUACGGUCCGUUGAUGAUCUUCGAUGAUGAAUUCCCGUACAUGCAACCAAGAAUUGGCAUUCCAGAGAUGGCAAGAUGCAGGGAUACUGGAAGCUUAACGGAAGUGGAGGCUAUCUAGCGCAGAACCCAUGGAGAUUUGCACCAGAAGAAGAGGUUGACGAAGCACGGCGUCGACUAUGUGGAGAUGCUACCAUGGAUGGUAGACGAAGCUCUGCAUGUGAGAAGAGGGAGUCCUACCAUGAAGCGGUAGAGA